RNAcentral lists this long non-coding RNA (5240 nucleotides) under Mustela putorius furo (domestic ferret). Its description in RNAcentral is "lncRNA (ENSMPUG00000030453.1)". Lineage: Eukaryota; Metazoa; Chordata; Mammalia; Carnivora; Mustelidae. The record is from RNAcentral.
AUGCAGCUGAUUUCUGUGAGAAGAGUAACCAGGAAGAUGUCUUCCCUUCAGUACAUCCUGGGACACACUAGUGACAACUCUCACCAGAGCUGGUUCUGGUUUAAUGGCUUAGUUCCCAAGACCAGGGGAGGCGGGCUGAGGGAAAGGGCAGAGGCCGUGAGUGGCAGUAGUAUGGGCAGCAGUGGGGCCCAGGAGAGAGCAAGAGCAAGAAGGAGCUGGGUGGACCGUGAGGCUGAGAUAGUUUGUCCUCUCCCCUGCUCUAGCCUGGUGGGUGUGUGCAGCUCCCCGCCAACCAUGCCCAGCAGAAAAGUGUCCUGGCUGCACGGGAAGCUCUGUUCAUUGUGCAUCUCUUCAGAAAGACACAAAACUCGGUCCAGCCUCCCAAACUUGUAACCAUAGUUGGGAAUAUAAGUCUGUCUUACAUGAAGAAGCAGUGUAGCCUUUUUCAUUUAGUAGCCAUGCAGCUGGGGCAAGUUAGCUUCUUUUUGAGCCCACUUCGCUCAUGUGGGGAUAAUAGCAGUUCCUACCUUGUAGGGUUGUUAUGAGGAUUGAGUGAACACAAAUGCCUUAAUAUUUGUGAAGUGCUUAGUACAGGACCUGGCACAAAGUAAGUGCUCCAACUGCGCUCAUUGUCAUUGUGAGACAAGCAAUAACCUCAGCUACCUUGUGGUUAAGCACAAAAUCCUUCGUCUCAGCAGAGAGUCGACAAUAGAUGCAGUAAAAUUUGACUCCUCCCCUACUGCAAAUGCUUCCCUAGACAUAAACUCUUUGGCCUGAGCUCCUGUUUGCCAGAAAAGCAGGAGACAUUGUACUCACCUGGAUAAGGGUCACCUCCAGAGCUUAGGUAAGUCUGUUUGACCCCAGUACCACCUGGUUUAUAUAAUAGUGUUUUCAUUCAUCUAACAAAUAUUUGCUAAUAUUCCAAGCAUUAAGAAAGGGUUUUGAUGAUGCUGACUAGAGGAAGAGAGCAUUGGGCCUGAAGGUACUGAGUCUAACAUGUAGGAUAAGCUGGUAUAACACAGAUAUCCAAAUAGAACAGCUAAAUAAGACAGAAGUUUAUUUCUGUCUUGUGUAAGCCCCAGGGAAGGCACACCAAGGUGGCAAAGUAGGUCCAUGAACUCAUUCAUGGACCCAGGUUUCUUACUAUUUUGCAUCUCUAAGUCUGUGUUUCAGGGCGUGGGAAGUAGGUGAUGAAAUCCAAGACAAGGAGCUAAUAAUUAAGAAGCAUCCACUCCCAUCCCAAUGGUUGGAACUUGGUCAUAUGGCCACAGGUAGCUGCAAGGGAUGUUGGGAAAUGCAGUCUAGAGCAGAUGGCCAGGUGCCUAUGCAAAACUUGGGAGUGGAGGUUAUUAUAAGAAGAAAGAAGGGAGAAUGAAUACUGGAGGGAAGCUGGCAGUUUAUAUCAAUGAUUCAGGAAGAUAGGGAAGUAAAGGAAUACUCUAACAGACAAAUGCUCAACAGCCCCAGCUGUAAUCCUUGAGUCCAGAAAUAUGUUGUGGCCCUCAUGGGAGCUUGGGAUUUAGAGUCAGACUUUUGGGUUCAAAUCCCAGUUCUAUCACUUACCACAGGGUUGGUAUAAGAAUUAAGUAAGUCAAUCCAUAUGGUGCUUUUAGGAUAUGUAUGGUCUUGUCCAGAGCCAAUGCUCAGCAAGUGUGAGCUAUUACUGUUAGAGAGGGAUGUGUCAAGAAAGUCAAUGACUCAGGAUCUGGGGAAUUGCUCAUGGACUGGCUACCUCCUUUGGUUUUAUAGCUUCCCAUACUCCUUGUCUCUCCGGAUGCAAGCACUGGGCCUUGAACCCUCGGCCCAUCUCAUUGCAGAGAAAUGUUAAUGAAAACAAGCAAGGCCAUCUGAUGGGGUCAGUGUUUUGAAAAAAUAGAGUCAAUUUAUGUUUGCCUGGACUGGACCUAGGGGAUGAAUUUAGAGAGGAUAUUUCAAGGUCAGCUUUCUAUUGCUUGAGUAGGAGCCAGUGAAUUUAAUACAUGGUCUAUAAGCCUCUGUGGGGAAAGCAAGAGCCCUUCUUUAUUGGGUGUGUCUCUAGGUAAAGAGCUUGAGAAAUUACUUUAAAAUUUUCCUAUGUAGCUAAGUAAAAGGGAUAGUGAGGCCUCACAGGAGCUGGGGAAAUCUUUGCCCUUGGGGAAGCCCCUGGUGGCCUGUCUAGGCCCCCCCCAGCAAGAGGGGGAAAGUGGAAAAGCUGCCCCUGCUGGAUGCUGUACUGGCAAGAGUUGGGGUGUCCUCUUACUGGGAGCUGGUGUUCUAUGAUAUGCAGAAGGUGUCAUGUUUUCCAUCUCCUGCAGAUGUCAUAUGGAAAGAGAAUCUUCCUAGCUUCAGAACAAGAGACUUAACUUUCCUUGGCAACUCACACAGUGGGUAGAUCUUAGCAGAAAAAUAAACAGACACUGAAAGAUGAUUUUCUACCAGUUUUCUGCACUGUCUUAUUUUCAGAGGCUUGAGGAGGUUUUAUACCCUUUUUAACCCCAGAUCUGGGAAUCAGGCCACACACUACGCUGGAAAAAAGUAGCAUUGGAUGCUGACUCACAAUGGGUACCAUUUUUGACACCCUAAAAACAUCUAAUGGCCUCCCAGGCAAUGGGGUGGACAUACAGGAGGGAGCACAUGUUGGAAGACUCACAUGUGUUUAGGACCGCACCUGUGCCUGUUGGAGAGCCAGCAGAGGUGGGCCAGGGCUGGGAAUGGGGCAUCUGAAGGAUUGGGUAGGAGCUAGCUCACAGGCAAGUAGGCAGGUGGUUGUAUCCCUCCUGCCUGCCUCUCGUAACCUUGGCUGACCUCCUGGUCUUGACUUCUUGGUGUCAUGAAGAUCCUAUACCUGGCUAGCCUGGUUCUGUAGGUGGUCAUGGGCUUGGGUUUUCACCCACAUUUUCUCCAGCUCUGUGAACCUCAUAUCUUCUCUCUCAUCAGUUCCCAACUGGGCCUUCACUCUUCCUUACCACUGGGGUCAAUUUUUUAUUCUCUUUCCCUUAAGGAAAUCUUAUCAAGGGAGUGGGGACAAUAGUGAGACCUGAUUCAACUAGGGUCUCCAGUUGAAACUGGGAUGCUGUCUCUGUGUGAGAUGACACUUGUAGUUUCAGGAAUGUCCCUCCCAGGGCAUCAGAUGUAUACUCUGACCACACCAUCCAGAGGUGCUAUGAUUUAAUAUUAAGUAGAGUAGAUCCUGUAAUUCUCUUGAGAACAAAAUAAUUUUUUAAAGAGAUUUAUUUAUUAAUUUUAGAGAGAGAGUGUGAGAGAGUGGGGUGAGGGUCAGAGGCAGACGGGGAGAGAUAGAAAGAGAGAGAGAAUCUCAAGCAGACUCCCCACUGAAUGUGGAGCCCGAAGUGGGGCUUGACCUCACGACCCUGAGAUCAUGACCUGAGCCGAAAGCAACAGUCACAGGCUUAACCGACUGAGCCACCCCGGUUCCUCUUGAGAGUGUAAGAAUUUUACAUUGUUAUUUGGGUUUGUGUGCGUGCAUGUGAAAAGUGUGCAUUUAUUAAGCGUGAGCCUUCCAAACAGGCCAUACAUGCUAUAAUCCUUCUUUGAAUUUCUUCAUUUUUUAAUCACCUGGGCACCUGGUUGGGGGGUGCCUCUGCUGCUCUGAGGGACUCUGUAUGCAGGCCUGCUCGAGCAGGGGUUACACAAGAGGACAAUCCAGGAAAAAUCAACAAACAUAUUUACAGGUCAUCUUUGCCCCUUCAUCAACCCAAAGAGAACCUCAUGGAGUCUCAUGGUGGGUGGGGCGUUAAGGAAUGUGGAUUCUUACAAUUUACUCUACUGAUAAUAGUAUCAGUGAGAAAAGGGGCACUGCUUUUUGAGUCAUUGAAAACGUAAUAUCCGGAUGUUUGGAGACAGUUUUCCAGUUUUUCAUUCUGAAAUUAGACGUGGGGAUGCCCACGUGAUCCUUGUCGCUGCAAGGAUGCACCCCGGCACCCUCGGACUCAUGCUCUCAGUCCAUUUCUCGCCCAGCAUAGAGCCCAGUGCAGAGUAGGUGUUUAAUAAAUGACUACUGGGCAGCAAUAUGGUAGAAUGGCUAAGAACACAGACUUCACCAGACCGCCUCCUUCUGUCACUUAGUAGCUGUGUGACUUCGGCAAGCUUCUUAACCUCUCUGGGCCUCUGUAGUAGUCUGUAAAGUGGGGAGGAUAUCAAUCCCUACCUCAUAGGUGGGGACUGAAUGAGUUAAUACAUGUGGGUACUUACAACAAUGCCUCGCGUAUACAAACCUGUGUAAGGGUUACCUGUUCUUAUAGAUAAUGCUGUUGAGCUGAGUGGAAACCCCAUGUCUAGAUAGUGCUAGAGCCUUACAGAGAAUUCUUUCCAACCCUGGCUUCUGCUUAGUUACGGUUGAUCAGAUUUUCUCUCUAGUCUCUUGUCUGUGAAAAUACAUUUGAUUUCCACAUGAAAUAACUAUAUUCCUUACUCCAAACUUCAAAAAAAAAUUGUAUUUAUGUAUUAACACAGAGAGAGAGUGAGAGAGAGAGCAAGAACACAAGCAGGGAGACGGGUAGGAGGAGCAGGAGAAACAGGCUCCCCACUGAGGAGGGAGCCUGAUAUGGGGCUCGAACCCAGGACCCUGAGAUUAUGACUUGAACUGAAGGCAGCCACUUAACUGACUAAGCCACCCCGGCACCUCUCCAAACUUUUUAUUUAAGGCUAAAAAACCCCCAAAACAAUUCCAAGUAUUUUUGAAGCAGACAUGGGUCCAUGUGUAAUAGAUAGCGCCUUGGAUUAAUAACCUGGGUGAAGGCUGCCCAACCAGAUUUGGGGAAGCUGCUCUUUUCCAAAGAAAGUGCUGGGCUCUCCCCUUCCAUCUCUCCUGACAGAAUGCCCUGCCUGUUCCCUCAGCCACUGGAUCUGGUCUUUGCAUUAACAGGAGAGCUCCUGGGUACAGAUACAGUCUGGCUCCCGGAGCCUUGUCUACCUAAUGGUUUUAUUUGUAACCACUUUAUUUUCAUUCACUGACUUUUUCUUUAAAGUUUUAAAUAUUGAAAUACAGCAUACAUACAGAAAGGAGCUCACGUGUCCGGCUCAGUACAUUUUGACAAGCUGAACUUAUCUGUGUCCUCAACACCCAGAUUAAGAAACAACAGGACAGAAACCCAGCUGUGGCUCUUCCAGUUACUACCUCACUCCUUACCGAACUCUGCCAAGGGAGAUCAUCCUGGCUCUAACCCCAUCGGAUGGAAUCUUCUAGAAUUUUCACUCAGUGUCUGGAUUUCCUCCUUCAACACUAUGAGAGUCAUUUAUAG